This 274-nucleotide ribosomal RNA is filed under the name uncultured bacterium. RNAcentral's name for it is "partial 16S ribosomal RNA". It matches the Rfam family "Bacterial small subunit ribosomal RNA", at positions 523 to 796 of the family's 1533-position model. The record is from RNAcentral.
AUACGGAGGGUCCGAGCGUUAUCCGGAUUCAUUGGGUUUAAAGGGUCCGCAGGCGGGAAAAUAAGUCAGUGGUGAAAGCCUACAGCUCAACUGUAGAACUGCCAUUGAUACUGUUUUUCUUGAGUAUAGAUGAAGUGGGCGGAAUAUAUCAUGUAGCGGUGAAAUGCAUAGAUAUGAUAUAGAACACCGAUUGCGAAGGCAGCUCACUAAACUAUUACUGACGCUCAGGGACGAAAGCGUGGGGAGCAAACAGGAUUAGAUACCCCAGUAGUCC